RNAcentral lists this long non-coding RNA (3346 nucleotides) under Mytilus galloprovincialis (Mediterranean mussel). The record is from RNAcentral. Lineage: Eukaryota; Metazoa; Mollusca; Bivalvia; Mytilida; Mytilidae.
GUCUUCAUUUUUGUUUGAAUGACUUUGGAUCAACCACCCUGACUCAUUAGAAAAAAACUAUGAAAGAGUUUGACUCAUAUCAUUACCACAAACAGUUUUACGAUAUAUCUUCUUUGUAAUGAUGCAUACUUUAAUCUUUAAUCUUUGCUUUUCAGAUGUCUUAAACCAAAAGGAAAACUUUCUUAGUAAUUAUCAAUUAAUGAGGGGAAAAAAGAAUGCGGAAUGGAAACAUACAAGACUUCAGUCUCAAGAAAUUUUAAGAAUAUUUCAAAAUUUCAAUUAUAGUAGAUUCAUCUUAUAUGAGGCUAUCUGAAGCUUGUUUGGCUUGUUUGGCUUGGUUUUCAAUGGGGAAAUCAUUAACUUAUGUAGUCAAAGGAAUGACAAUAUCCAAUUCACCAUUUCAGAAUCUAAUGCAUCCUGGGUAAUAUUUCCAAAAACAUUGUGAUUGGUUUAAAACGUUUUCAACAAUGGAAAUUCAACCAAUGAUGUAACUUUAUUUUCAUUUUGGUGUACAAACAAUGAAAUUACCCAUAGUCCUUUAGAUUCUGAAUCAGCCAAUUGCAUUGAUAGAGGGAAAAUUCCUGAAACCAUGAACGUUAGUAUCAAAGAUAAAAAUAUCAGCCUUCUGUUACAUAAGGGUACCAGUAGUGUUAAGGGUUAUUGAAUCCCUUCCCUUAUCUCAACAAGGUACCAGUAUUGUUGAGAGUUACUUCCCUUAUCUCAACAAAAUAUAAAUUAUCUCAGAACACAAAAAAAAUAUGAACUCAGAAAUUAACAAAAUAUGGAAAUUUUGAAUUUUGUUCUUCAAAAUUGAGUCUACAACCUUUACUAAUUGAAACAACUGCUUGACCAUACAAAAACAUACUGCAUGUAUAUCUGUCAUGAUAGUUAUAUGAAAGUUAAUUAUAAAUUCUUAUACAUAUGCACUCUUCACAUGCUUUGUAAAUGCUAUGCAUUGUUUGUUGUCCUUAUUUCCAUUACACUCCCCCCCUUUUAAGUACAACAUAUACAUAUAAUACAUGUAAAAGCAAAUAUAUAUAUAUAUAUAUAUAUGGACACAACCUUUAAAAUCUACAACAUAUAAAUAAAACACAACAUAUGUUCUUACUGUUUACAUAUAAAUUCACAUUUAUAAUAAGUUAUAAUCUUACAUAUAGCAAAAACCUGUCUUGAGAGACCAAACCCCUCUUUUCAAAAGCCUUUACUUUGCAAAAAAAUAAGUUUUGUAUAUUCAUGAAAUCAAGAUCUCUGUAGGUAGAUCUAAAAGUUACUGUUAAGUAUUCAGUGACUAUCAGACAAAAAAUCUCACAAAAAAAAAGAUAAUUGUAGGUUACAUCAAUAUGUAAUAUUUUUUGUGUAAAGAGUUGCCAUCACUUAUAUAAAUAAGAUCCCAGUUAAUUUAUUAAUAAAGACCAAGUUCAAAAGAAAUAUAAGUUUCUUUAUACUGCAACUAUUAUAUAUAUAUAUAUAUAUGUAUCCAUAAAGGGAUGAAAAUAAGUUUGAAAUUUGUGUUAAUUCAAAUAGCUAUGAAUUUAUUUAUUAAAGUUGCAGUAUAAAAUCAAUAUUAGGUCAAUGUCAGAAAAAUAUCAACGUUUGUGUACUCGGCGCAAAACUGAGGAAGGGCUCGGUAGAACCUCACCCUUCCCUAGUUUCUCAGUCUCAUACAAAAACGUUGAUAUUUUUCUGACAUUGACCUAAUUUUGUAUAUUUAAUUAUAUGUGAUCUAGUACAAAGACAACAGGCUUAUUCACUAUUGAGCUGCAUACACUAUCUUAGUUUUGUUACUAGUUUAUCAUCUCUUAAAGUUCAAAAAUAAAGAAUCAAUAUUUUUGAUAUGUUAAUGAUGUAGUAUUUGCCAUUUUUUAGAACUGGACAUACUAACAGAGGAAAUGUUUGUCACAAGAUAGCUUCUACAACAUCAAAACAUCCAUACUUUCACAAGCAUCUUAAUUCUAAAAUUAGUUGGAAACAAAUUAAAAUUUGAGAAAAAGGGUUGCCAUUGGCAAAUAUUUCACCCAUACUAAAGUUUGAAAGUAAUAGAGGGAAAGGACUGGAUUUUUUUUAACAGGAUCAAUAAGAUGAGGUAAAAAUAGAAAUCUUCAAUAAAAGCCUCACCAUACAUUAUUCAUCUUGAUAUUUUUUCGGCUAAUGAUGAAUAUUUUUAUUUUUUUAUUUUUUUUCCUCUGAACCAAACAUUUGUCUAGACUUAUUUAUUUAAUUAUUUAAAAUUUUUGAUAAAACAAGUGAAGAUCAUAAAAAAAUUUGAUAAUUGGAAUACAUUACUUUUAAGUGGAAUAUCGAUUUAAGAAAUCAUUACAUUUGAAAGAGGCUGAGCAUAGCAGAUUAACUUGGUAUGAAAGUGAGAUUUAUAUAUUAAUGAAUAUUCAUGUUUUAUUUUGUCAAGAGGUCCAGCUCUGUUUCAAUUAAAGUAAAAUCAAAAGUAUAAAUGAUAUGCAGAUAUAAAAAUAAUAAAUAAAUCAGUAAGCAAGAUUACCAUCAAAAUUAUAUACUAAUCAAAGCAGCUUUAUAAAGAAAAAAUAAAUUAAAAAGUUAACAAAUAUAAUUACAACGAUAGUUUGUUUUCAUGUCAAAUCACAUUCAUCUUCAACUCUUUUACACAAAUUAUUGAGAAAUAUCUUAAAUUUGUUUGCCUCUGGUGCUUCAUAGGAGAGAACUAGUAACCUACCAAAGAUCAGGAAACCAGUAUAGAGUUAAUUGUUAUAAAAGUUUGAAUGAUAUGAGAUACGAACACUGGCCAUUUGAUCAACUGUUGUCUGAUAUGAACAGAAAUAUGAAUUGAAUGAAAAUAUACCCAUUUGCCAUCCCUUACCUUUGGGGGAUUUUUUCAUUUGAAUUGAAUCUCUUCUAGUAAUCAUACCUCUUUCAAAGAGGUCAAAAUAAAUUUUCAUGAACAAAAUCUUCCCAGUAAUUUAACAAAUAAUGCUUGAAUAGGUCAUAGUGCAAAGUCUCCAUCAAUGAGUUUUUAACAUUCUUUAUACCAGAUUUUAAGAUAAAUAUUUGUUUUCUAAUUUCAAACAUAAUCUAAAAUAUAAAAAAAAUAUUUUUAACUACCAGUAUUCUCAGUUUAGAAAUGUACAGACUGAAAACAGUGAAUUUAGGAAAUCUACAUUUCCUUUUCGCUACUUACUGAAAAAAAAGUUCCUUGUUCAUGGACCAUUAGAUAACGAAAGUAGAAAUAAACCAGGAACUAAAAUACAAGUUUACAACAAAGGAAAAAAUAUAUGAUUUUUUAUAAGCAGAAGUAAAAAGUCUAAAAAAUUAAAGAGUAUUUAAAUAAUAAACAAAUAUCAAAAAGCUGUGAUUAGAAGCAAAAAAAAGACAAAAG